Microcebus murinus (gray mouse lemur) is the source of this 163-nucleotide non-coding RNA. The record is from RefSeq and is a predicted model, not a curated record. NCBI's taxonomy places the organism in Eukaryota, Metazoa, Chordata, Mammalia, Primates, Cheirogaleidae.
GCUCAAAAGAAGAGAUACAAUGGAUAGAAGUAGACAUGAGAAAUGGAGAAAAAUGGAGAAAUCAAGGAAUGUGCAGAAGGACCUAUUUCAGAGCAACAUCUGAGAGCAGAGAAGUGUGGCUAUGUAAACACUCAAGGCAAGAGCUGGGAAGUCCAAGAUCAAG